This 507-nucleotide ribosomal RNA is filed under the name uncultured Chloroflexota bacterium. RNAcentral's name for it is "bacterial SSU rRNA". It matches the Rfam family "Bacterial small subunit ribosomal RNA", at positions 376 to 896 of the family's 1533-position model. Lineage: Bacteria; Bacillati; Chloroflexota. The record is from RNAcentral.
CGAAAGCCUGAUGCAGCAACGCCGCGUGCGCGAUGAAGGCCUUCGGGUCGUAAAGCACUUUUCUGGGAGAUGAGAAAGGACAGUAUCCCAGGAAUAAGUCUCGGCUAACUACGUGCCAGCAGCCGCGGUAACACGUAGGAGGCGAGCGUUAUCCGGAUUCACUGGGCGUAAAGCGCGUGCAGGCGGUUUGGUAAGUUGGUCGUGAAAGCUCCCGGCUCAACUGGGAGAGGUCGUCCAAGACUACCAGACUAGAGAGCAGAAGAGGAAGAUGGAAAUUCCGGGUGUAGUGGUGAAAAUGCGUAGAUAUCCGGAGGAACACCAGUGGCGAAGGCGAUCUUCUGGUCUGUUUCUGACGCUCAGACGCGACAGCUAGGGUAGUAAACGGGAUUAGAGACCCCGGUAAUCCUAGCCGUAAACGAUGUGAACUUGGCGUUGGUGGCUUAAACACCAUCAGUGCCGAAGCAAACGCGAUAAGUUCACCGCCUGGGGACUACGGCCGCAAGGUUA